Long non-coding RNA from Erigeron canadensis, 491 nucleotides. RefSeq lists it as uncharacterized. The record is from RefSeq and is a predicted model, not a curated record. NCBI's taxonomy places the organism in Eukaryota, Viridiplantae, Streptophyta, Magnoliopsida, Asterales, Asteraceae. The transcript has 2 exons.
UUCUAAUUACUUAGUACUUUCACAAUAAAAUCACAAUGUAUUGUCACAAAAACUGAGUUGAAGCAUUUCAAUGGGAUGGCUUCAAUCUCUCUUCUCCCCCUUCAAGAACCUAUGGAGUCGAGUUCGUUUGACACAUACCCGCAAUAGAAAACGUAAAGGAUUGUACGUGUUGUAUGAAGACGUAAAGUGUUGCUCGUGUGAGGAUGUGCAAAUGUUAUGGUCGAUGUUUGUUGGCCUAGAACCCGGUUUUUCUAUUUAGAGUGAAACCGGAUAUAGUUGAUACGACUAUGACGGAAUGCCUACGACGAACCGAUCAAAUUUACUUGUAAACGAUUAGUAUAUUUUGUCUAUCUUAUAUGUGUAUAUGUUAAAGAGAUUCAGAAUGUUCCUUGUAACAUAUUUGAUUGCUUUGUUGUAUACUAUAUAAUUUGAAAACCAAUGUCAUCUAUCUAUAUGAAUAUAUAAUGAUAAAAAUGCUAUAGUUUCCUGUA